CCUCAUGUUGGCAACUUUGCCAGGGGCUGAGUGAAAAAGAGACAAGAAAGAGACUGCCCCUUCUGCCUUGUAAGUUUCCUCAAAUAUCCCCUGAAUCAAGGGAGUACCAGCAUGUGACUGUGGCACUAACUAGCCCUCUUGCCCACAUUAACCUUAUUUGUCCAGAUUACUAGUGUUACUGUGGUAGAAAUAUUUCCUCUCUGCUCUUAGGUAAGACUGUCAUUUGCUUCUCUUGCAGUGGGGAGUAAGGGAAUUUGGAUCCACUGACAAAAAUUUAGUAAGUGGGGCAUUUUAAAUUUCAAAGUAAAUCUGUCUCCCUUUGCAGUUCGUUGGCUCCUUGCCUGUCAUCAGUACUUGCCUUUUUUUCCUCCCACUUUUCUUUUGGAGGAUCACAUACAAGUUGGGGAGGCUGCUCCAAAGCCACAUGGUCUCUCAGAUAUUGCCAGCUGUACUGGGACUCUCUGGAGUCCCUUGUCCAUCACCACAGGUCACCCCAGCAGAACCUGGGCAUCUACCAUAGACCUGAGGUGUCCAAAUUGGGGCAGUGCUCCAAGCGGUCUGCAAACUGGUGCCCUGAUUAUAGGUUAUUCUGUGAUUGAAGUUUCACCUAGAGAUCGGCUGAGAAUGUGAAUGGGAUGUCUGCAUUUAGCAUCAGGUUUUGGAGCUUUGAUGUGGGCUAUUUCCUCCCGAAGGGCCUUGAUAACAAAGACCACAGCACAGUCCUGUGGGAGUUUCUAGCUUCUGUACCCACUGCCUCAUUAUAUGCAUGGCUUUUAAUAUUUGGAGAGCCUUUGCCAAUACACAUUUUCUCGUGUACUGGGAAACUGGAGCCCGGAUGCGAUAUAUUAUUGAUAGGAUUGUAAUUUACUCCUCUUGGGUUGUAUCUACAGUGUAUACCAUUAGCACAAAAUAUUAAAUUACCAGUGGUUGUAUAUAUUUGUCUAUCCAGGUUUGGCUCAAUGAUAUUUGCCUUUUGCCUCAAUAAAAGAUUGUGAAUAAUGAAAGCAGGGUAAUAUUAUUUUGUUGUUGUUGUUGUUGCAAGGGAAUUUUGAUGAAACCAUUUUCUCUGUGUUGUGUUUUUGGCGAGUCAUGCUUUGCAAUGAAGACAUGAGACAUAAAAGAGUGGGGGUUGGACAUAGAAGAUGGAUGAGCAGCUUGCUCCAGCUCUGGGCACACACUGGCUUCCCUGGCAAGCUGCUCUGGGCCAGGCUUGGGGCUUUCUUUUUCUGCAAGAGGGAAUAAGCAAUCUGUGCUGCAUUGGUGGGAGGAAGUGGGCAGUUCAGACCUUGGUGCCAGAAAUACCAA
Molecule: long non-coding RNA, 1305 nt
Filed under: Homo sapiens (human)
Lineage: Eukaryota; Metazoa; Chordata; Mammalia; Primates; Hominidae
Description: HSALNT0021074
Source: RNAcentral